This 189-nucleotide non-coding RNA is filed under the name Peptococcaceae bacterium. RNAcentral describes it as "Lysine sequence". It matches the Rfam family "Lysine riboswitch aptamer". Rfam says of the family: Riboswitches are metabolite binding domains within certain messenger RNAs that serve as precision sensors for their corresponding targets. Allosteric rearrangement of mRNA structure is mediated by ligand binding, and this results in modulation of gene expression. The record is from RNAcentral. Lineage: Bacteria; Bacillati; Bacillota; Clostridia; Eubacteriales; Peptococcaceae.
GGGUGUGGUAGAGGCGCGGAUGACAAGAGUACCAUGAAGAAGGUUGCGAACACCGAUGAAUUCAUGGGAAAGGGAAAUUCGCCGAAGCCCAAAAAGGCGUGCUUUUUGGUGCUGGGUCUGUAGUAAAGAACUGCAGGACUGUCACACGAUGCUUUUGAUCUUAUCAUCGUGUGGAGAACUACUCACAAC